UCGAUUUUGGAAUCAAGAUGUCUUGGAAUCGAUUAAAUACAUUAUCCAGUAAUCAAGGGGUUCUCGAAUACUGGCGUAACGGAUCAAUUAGGCAAACGACGUAAUACGGCAGGUUAUAAGAAUAGCCACUUAUAUCCCUAGAAAAAGCCCAAUGAACCGCUUUUAAGCGGGUUUAUCAGGAAAGCUGAUAGAUAUACCUAAUUGAUUGUCAUCGACGGAGAGGGGCGCUUUAUAAGCGUAUCUGAUGGCACGUAGGG
RNAcentral lists this non-coding RNA (257 nucleotides) under unclassified sequences. RNAcentral describes it as "PAGEV RNA". It matches the Rfam family "PAGEV RNA". The record is from Rfam by way of RNAcentral.